Molecule: long non-coding RNA, 660 nt
Organism: Dalotia coriaria
Lineage: Eukaryota; Metazoa; Arthropoda; Insecta; Coleoptera; Staphylinidae
Exons: 7
Source: RefSeq, a predicted model, not a curated record
UGAAUCGCGCCGGUGUGACCGCACGCGUUUCUCUUGCUAGCCUCGUUUGUUUCUGGUUGAAGUUCAUCAUCCGUUGAAAUUGCUAAUAAGAAAUUAAUUUCAACUUUACGCGCUUAUCGGUAUUUGUGUUUGUGUAAAUUCGAGGUGCGGUGCAUCUGUGGAAAAUUGAAUUCGUUCAGUCGGUACAAUCUAGCAUCUACGGCAUGUUCCUUCUGGAAAUCGUUCCGCGGGAUUUUCCACCUGAGUCUGACAUCGUAGAAGGACCAUUCUUGCAUCAGAUUGGAUUUUGCACCUGAGUCUGACAUCGUAGAAGGACCAUUCUUGCAUCAGAUUGGAUUUUGCACCUGAGUCUGACAUCGUAGAAGUACCAUUCUUGCAUCAGAUUGGAUUUUGCACUUGAGUCUGACAUCGUAGAAGGAGCAUUCUUGCAUCUGAUUGGAUUUUGCCCCUGAGUCUGACAUCGCAGAAGACCAUUCUGGUAUCAGAUUGAUUUUGCACCUGAGUCUGAUAUCGUAGAAGGACCAAUCUUGCAUCAGAUUGUAAGUAUUAAAUUUCAUUAUCUUAAAUAAAUUUUGUGAUUAUUACACAAAUUGACUCCCUAAAUUUAUGCUUGUGUGUUUUCUUUAAUAAAGAAUAUUUUUAAGUUUUUCUAAUUAUAAA